Canis lupus familiaris (dog) is the source of this 3394-nucleotide long non-coding RNA. RefSeq lists it as uncharacterized. Lineage: Eukaryota; Metazoa; Chordata; Mammalia; Carnivora; Canidae. The record is from RefSeq and is a predicted model, not a curated record. The transcript is spliced from 5 exons.
GGGACUUGCCAUAGAUUCAGAUGGUAGAAGCAUCAAGUCACAAUAUCCGGUGCUGAACAAUCACCCAUAGUCAGAGGAAGGUCGGGCCCCACUGUAAUGCAUGUGAUGAGUCACACCAAACUGCCCACAGAGAUGGAGUCAUGCUGGAAGCAAAGGUACAAGUCAGGAAGAGUCUGAUGUCAAUGCCAUGGAAGGUUCUCUCCUGUCAAGUAUGUGACACAGGGAAGACAUCUGCCAGCAUACAUUCCCAGAGUCUGUGGCCCAUGUCUUGACCUACUGAGCCAGGGACAGGAGGACACCAAUGAUGAUGCAAUAUCAGAUGGCAAAUAGGAGAGAGGACUGGUAAACCAAGUAAGGAGACAUGGGCAGAGGCAGCAAAGAGGUUUGGUGCUGGCGACGAGGCUGUAGCUUAAAAAGAGAAAAGGUUGUACCUUCACAGCCACGCUCGAUCUGUCCACUCCGAUGGAGGGCAUCGUUGAUGAGGUCUGGCAGGCGCCCAUUCAAAUCUACUGAGGCCAGACAGCCCUGAAAGCCAUCCCGGGAAGCCACCAACUUUGGAAGGUUGCUGUACAUGCCUUGGGCCAGACCUGCCAUGUAGAGAUCACCUGGAAAGAAAAGCAAGUAGCAAAAGCAAAUUUCGACUGCAAUGAAGUCAUUGCCAUCACCACUAUUGAAGAGAAUGAAGCCAUCUGCUGAGGUGGUCUUGAACUGGAAGAAGAGGUGCAUGGACGUGUAGGCCUGAAGAGUGGCCAGGCUCAGGUCUAUGUAGAGCAGGCCGUUGAACAUGAGGCUCUGCAAGUGGCCAAUGAAACUGGAUGGGACAACGGAGAUGUAACGUUUCUCAGUCAUGAUUCCAGUUUCGAUAUUGUGGAAUUCCAAGCGGCAGAGGGGCCUGAGCACAGCAAGCGUCCCUCACAUCUGAGGAAGGAUUUGCUUUAGAGUCAGAAUUUGGAUCAUCGCCAUUUCUACAUAUAAAGUUCCUAGUCAACACGAAACGCUCAGCAAAGAAAUGAGAAAGACUUAGAGGAGGCAGCUUGACCUUCCUGGGCUCCCAGACAUGGGGAGAGAAGAAAAUGAAGGCUUAUCAAGUCUCAGUAAAGGAUACACAUUUUGCUCACCAUCUUCAGCUCCACCACUUGCAUAUCCUUUUCUCCACAAUGCCAAACAUUUUUAAAAGUAUAUGCUAUAAACUGUUCUAGUAACAGUAAUAAUAAUAAAUGUUCUGGAGCCAAAUUAACUAGGUAAACACUUCACAUGUAAUUACUGAUGAUUAGCAAUGUGUAUUAGCGUGGUAAAGGCUCCUAGUAAGUCUUGCAAUAAAGAAAUCCACUUCAUUUUGUUUAACCUAACAUUUCCCCAUUCUAUUUCAUCAUGUUUUUGUUGUUGUUGUUGUUGUUGUUGUUAAUGUGAGGAAUAGAUUUUCCUUGGAAAAUGACUUUUUACAGCUUGGUGCUAUGUUUGCUGUAUAGGGUAAGUCAUAGAGAAAGAAGUCAACACGAACCAGAGGAGUCAAAAGAGGGAUGAAUCUCUGUACUAGCAAGAAGCUCUGGGUGGAGUGGGUGGUUCAUGCAGCAUUAGAUCCUAAUCCUGAGUAGCAUAACCCAAGUGAAGUAUUCUUUUAAUUUAUUCUUGAUAAUAGAAAUCCAGCUCAGUCAAUCAAUCCAUCAAUCGUUACUGUCAACUGAACUUAAUACUUUUCCAGGAAUACAUUGUGUUACAAUAAAUGAAAACCACCAGGCUAAGCAAUAUUUCUUCCCUUGCUUUUGAUUUCUUAUGAGUGUGACCUAUUCUUUGCAUCAUUUCUACAAACUAGCUGAAAACUUGACACCCUAGGGGACCUUAAACAGCAUGAAAGGGAUUACUAAAUAAGCCAAUAAGACACUACUUAAUAACCUGAGGACUGUGUGGUAUUUUAGUUUCAUUGCCUGAUUUUAUGACUUCUGUGAGCUAAAAUUAAAAUUCCCAAACCCAUUAUCACUGUAAGAAGCAAUCCAAGGUUGUAGCUCAUAAGCAAAAUAGCUCUUUUCUUCUCCCAGAUUUCUUUAUCCUUAUGGCUGCUCUUUUCCAUCAGCAGUAAAGUAGGGGAUAAGGUUGAAAAUGAAAGAGCUUCAUUAAUUUCAAAUAUCAAAUUACUGAAUGACUGGGGCCGUCCUCGGUAUAGUCCUGCUUUUUUAAUUAUUAGUGGUUAAGAGAAAGCGCACUUUCUAAUUACCUUUAGUCUAAAGUUUCUAUAAAAGAAUAAUGGCCAAGGGAGGCAAUGCACAUUACUGUAUCCUCAGUUCUGCAGUUCUUUAUGACUACAGCUUUCAGGGCAUGCCAUUUCCUGAGAAAAAUAAAAAGGGUUUCGUGGUCCAGAGAGAUUGGGGUGAGGGCACCAUCUAGUGGCUACCGCUCAAAUCACCGGAAUAGCAUCACUGGGCUGCAGGGCUCUGCCCAGAGGAGCUAGCAAAGCGAUUUGCGACUUGUCACUGCGGCCGUGCAGGCUCCAGCGUGCAUUAACAGCCUACGGGGAUUUAUUGAAUAAUUAAUUCAGGAUAGCUGUGGGUUCUAAACCAUGUAACUAUCUUUACAGCUCUUUGCUUACAUCUGUUACCUAAAGCUAUGUUACCCUUCAGGCAUGUAGAACAGUAACCUUACCUCCCGCCGAUGAAGGUGUCUAUAUACAUACAACUGGAGGGUUUGGGGUACUUAUACUUAAGGCUCUGUUUGACUUCAUUUUUAAGGAGAGAGGGGUGAGUGUUGUAGUCUACACUAAAGAGGAUUCCUCACGUCACUCUAAUGCAUUCCAUUGUAUUUUUCCCAUAUCGUAAUACAAAUCAUUUUCUUAGGAUGGAUUGUGAAGUCCAGCAAGUAGCCUGAUUUGGUGAUGUCACACCAACAUGAAUUUGGGGCUUAAUUACAUAGCUCCUUCUAAGUGUCAUGUCCUCUUAGGUAAAAUGACAAUAACACUUUUCUUGCAAGGCAAUGGGGAAUUGCAGAUUUAAGGAGCUGAUACAUGUAAGGUGACUAUCUCAGUAUCUAAUGCCUACUAGGCACUGGAUAGGUGCCUCCUGCUCUUCCUCUCUCCAUAGACUCUCCUUAUCUCCCUUCUCUCUCUCUCUCUCUCUAACACACACACACACACUCCUACCUGCACACAUAUAUACAUGGCUUGCUAUAAUUCCAGACUCCAGAAUUAUAGAGGUUCAGACUCAUUUAUAGAAAAUUAAAUUACAGAACCCUAAACUGCAGAAACCUUAAGCUAGACAGGGCUUUAGCAGUAAUAGAAUUUAAGUUUAAGAAUGAGGAAAUGAUGAAAAAGGUUUAUCAUUAUCUGUCCCAAUGAUAAAAAGUAUUUAAGUUCCAAUGACUGUAUGAAAUCCCAGGGAUCCUAACUCUAACUUGACUGUCUUAU